This is a long non-coding RNA of Triticum aestivum (bread wheat), 2624 nucleotides long. RefSeq lists it as uncharacterized. The record is from RefSeq and is a predicted model, not a curated record. The transcript is spliced from 4 exons. NCBI's taxonomy places the organism in Eukaryota, Viridiplantae, Streptophyta, Magnoliopsida, Poales, Poaceae.
CCUGAUGUGUGUGUGUGUGUGUCAUAAAAUAUCUUGUCGUUUAUGUAUAUUGCUUCCCUUUUAUUCAUGUACUACUUCUCUAAAUGCAAGCCACUUCUUUUCUAUUGUGGGCGUUAUCUUUCGAUGUUAAUGGACUAAAAGUCUAAAGCCUUUCCUUCUGCAAAAUGAUGAUAUUAGAGCUAUGCGUCUUAUAAUCCCUACUGUAUAUGACAAUGUGAUAUUCAGUUAUAUUAUGUUCGAAGCAUGGCAUUUUUCCUUCCUUUUUUUUGAUGAAUCACGUGGUAAAUUAUGAUGUACAAUGACCGCUCUUGCAAAAAAAUUGAAACUCAGAGAGGGGUUCUACAACAAGCAAGGUUUUAGGAUAUGAAUCUAAAUGAACUCUUCUUCAGCCCAGUCCUAGCACAAACUGAUCAGAGAAACAAUGAAGCAGCAACGCAUGGGUCCCCUUCUUGCACACAAGAGUUGUGUUUGUGCAAGUCAUGAACCUUUUUUCCAUCACUGGAUUUGAACAUGUUAAUUCUGAGCUUCUGUUCGGAGUUUAUAUUCUAGCUUUCAUGCGAAGUAGUUACAUUUAUCGCAUGGAAGAUGAUGCCCAUAGAGUGGAAGGUGGGGAGAUUCGGACUUUGGAGGAUGUAAAUAUGCUCAAAGUUUUUCAAUUAAGGUGAGCCUUGCAGAACUAUCUUUUAAUGUUUCCAGUUUAUCCUAAAGUAUUUUAGCCUAAAUUUCCUGUCAUUUAGAUAGAUGUUGGUUAUGCUAAUCUGACUGGUAAGUUAUGGUAUUGUAGCUACUGCACAUGUCCCUCGAUUUCCCAGUUCGAUGUGUCAGGAUGCUAAUAUGGGUGUUACUAUAUUGCCUUCCAGUUUAUCCUAAAGUAUUUUAGCCUAAAUUUCUUGCCAUUUAGAUAGAUGUGGGUCAUGCUAAUCUGACUGGUGGGUUAUGCUAAUCUGACUGGUAAGUAUGGUAUUGUAGCUACUGUACAUGUCCCUCAAUUUCCCAGUUCCAUGUGUCAGGAUGCUAAUAUGGGUGUUACUUUAUUGCCUUCCCUUUUGUAAUAUGUUAUGUUUGCAAUUUCUCAGGGCCGCCGUCGCCGCCGUCUGUAGCAACGCAUAGGCCGCUUGCCUAGCUCCCUCAUUCCGAGCACGACACCAUGCGUCGGAGCUUGUUGGGAGGCACGGAAGGACGAACAGAGUUCUAUCGGUGAUCUGUGUUGUCUCUGACGAUGUCAUAGGAUCUGCGGUGCACGUGGACAAGGCAAUGGGGCCGCCAACCUACCUCCUCUUCACCACAGCGCGUGUAGAUUCUUGGGCUACCUCAACUUGGAUCAGCUUUUUCAAGAGGGGAUGCUUGCCAUUCAGAGGCGUGGCAGCAUCAACGGCUUCCGACGCUCCUCGGCUCAGCCGCCGCCGACCUACCAUGCCCACGAUCCUUGCGAGCAGUGUCACUCCUUCCCCUCACCGUGGUGCAAUGGAUUGAUUGAUUGAUGAAUCAAUCACAUCUGCUAGAAGAAGAAAGAAUCAGGCGUGCAUCAUGGAUGAUGGAUCUUGGAGUGCAGGGUGAGAACAAAGGUGAUUUAAUGAGUGAUAUAAGCAAACUCAGGCAUGUUUCCUUUCCUCACAUUUUGAAGAUCCAAGCAGAAUGGAUCUAUUAUUAGUAGCAUCGUCACCUUCAAAUCCAAUGUUUUUUGAGGUCACUCCUUUGUUUGUCUCUUCCAAACUAAUCUGGAUUUAACAGUAGAUAAUUACACCCUCCGUUUAGGUGUGUAAGUCAUCUUACGAAAACCAAAUAAUCCCAAAAUACUAAGGCGCGGUGCAUUAACUUUUACCGCAUUUUUCGUUUCUUCACAUAUCAACCAAUAAGAGACAAGGGGUGUGCAUGCUUUUAAUGACUUGAGACUACCAAACACGACAUGCAGUGGUUAGUUCAUUGCAUGCAAUGCUAUUAAUUAGCAAAUAAACAUUAAUGAUUCUCGUUUUCCUCUCCUCCUUGGUCAUGGUGCACAACUUAAGAUGACUUACUCACCUAGAUGGAGGGAGUACUAUUUUACCUACUUGAUGCUUAAUGCUUGUAUUUCUUAAAUUUUCCUAGGAGAAUGGGAAUUACAUCUAGAGCUACAGUUUGUGAUUUAAGGAUCUGCUAGGCAUGUCAUGGCAAGUAAUUUUACUUGGCAACUGCCAUGCUCCAGCAUAAAUCAUGUUCUGUUGUAGCACCUGGCAUUUAGGUACCUUUGAUUCAUGGAUGUACGAUAGGCCUGAAGCUUGAGCAGUUCAUAUUCGACAUAUUCAUUUAAUCCCUGUCCAUGACACAUUUUGAGGUGCUACACGAAGAGGAAUUUGCGCCAGUGAAGAACGCAAAUGGAACAACCUAUGACACCUGAUGCUACUCCAACUACAUAGCGGAUGGGUAAUUUCUCACCAUUUCCUGUACCCAGAAACUUGUAGAGUUAAAUUACAAGUCAGGCCUUUCAGCAUAGAACUUUUUUGAUCAUCUUUCUCAUGAUUCCUUUUGUUGGGGAUAUAACUAUUUGUGUAAGCCGCCCAGGAGGGGCCGAGUUAUGCAAAGAGGACUCACCAGAAAGAAGCCCAAGACCAAAGCAUGAAGAUGGCGGUUCAUAGAGGGCUUAAGGC